GCUCCAGGCCAAAGCUCUCAUGGAGAUGGACUAGAACAGCCAGGCUUGUCUAUCUGUAUCUAUCUUUAUAAAUAUGACUUUAUGGAGUUCAAAUGCAAUAUUGAAAUAAAUACUGGUUUUCCAGAGAGGGGUGUGUGUGUGUGUGAGAGAGAGAGAGAGAGAGAGAGAAAGAGAGGCUUGUCUAUUGAGCAAACCGUGUGUCAACUGAUUUCGUGAGAGAGGAAGACAAACUGCCUUGUCCUUUGGAGAUCGAACUGCCGAAGUGACAUUUGAAGUUCGGUAUCCAGGCUCCAGUAAAGCUCGCGAGCAUCGUGGGAGACACCAAGCUCGACAGCACACACCAGACACACUCAGGACCACCUUGCUGACAGUGGCAGAUUCUGCAGUUAAAGCUGAAGGCCGACACCAAGAGAGGACACCUGUCAUCACGUUUUUUGCUUGGAAAACAGAGUUGAAGAAACACACACCGUCCACAACGUACCCUGAAAGCACACGAUGACAGAUGUGGUUCAUCUAGCCGCAGUGCUUCACGAAGCAGCGUCUCCGAAAAGCUCCGUUACUCUCCACCUCUAGGAGGCUUGCAUCCUUGGAGGGGUGACCUUUGACCGCCACACUGGAGGAGAACUAGAGUAUGAUGCUGAGAUGUGACAGAGAUCCUUUUGUGUGUGAGGUGCUGGAGCCCAAAAGGGGGUCCCUGAGGGGCUGAAGUCAAGACCACUUGAAACAUGAAACAUGGCAUUGUUUCCCUAAACUGUGGUUUUAAUGGACCAGUAAAAUUUACUCUUUGCAGUGUUACAUGUAGCCACAGCUUUUUGCCAUAAAGCAGUUGUUUUAAGAGUAAAUCAAUGCUUAAAGACCUAUAGAGAGAUGAAUAAUUUC
RNAcentral lists this long non-coding RNA (879 nucleotides) under Scleropages formosus (Asian bonytongue). Its description in RNAcentral is "lncRNA (ENSSFOG00015028108.1)". Lineage: Eukaryota; Metazoa; Chordata; Actinopteri; Osteoglossiformes; Osteoglossidae. The record is from RNAcentral.